Molecule: long non-coding RNA, 664 nt
Filed under: Ananas comosus (pineapple)
Lineage: Eukaryota; Viridiplantae; Streptophyta; Magnoliopsida; Poales; Bromeliaceae
Description: long non-coding RNA (ACOM_LNC016104)
Source: RNAcentral
UCCACGUUAGCGGGUUAUAAUUUAAUCUCAUCCAAAUAAAAUAUGGAUCAUGAUUUAUCCUAAUGAGUUUAGGAUAAGAAUAAAUUAUAUAUUUUUUAUCAGUUAAGAAACAUAUCUCCUUAUAUUUUAAGAGAGGUUCAUAAUAUUUUAGGGGUUUUAUUGUUCUAUAAAGAGUUCUCCCUUUUCUUUCUUAUAAUCCAUCUAAGAAUUCUUCUUUCUUCUCUUUCUUCUCUCUUUGAAAUUUUCACCUACGUUUCCGGAGUUUUGAAGUGUGGAUAUAGAAGGGAACUUUAGUAGCCCUCUUCGAUUUAUAUCCAUAUAUGACGAUCCGUGACGCAAGACAUAGUCGUGGGAGAAAGCGAGAUACAUGCAAGAUCCAGAGGCGACAAGGAUGAUCCAAACAGGCUAGUAAAAUAAGCAAUCCGAUCCGAUUUCGGUUGUUGGAUACGUUGGCUAUUCAGUUGUAAGUUUUCACUGUCCUUUAAUUCCAACAUUUUUAAAUUAAUAUCUCGUAACUUUUAAUUCUUUUGAAUUAAGCAAUUUUAAUCAAUUUGGUUAGAAAUUCUAUUAUUGAUUGCUGAAAGAGUCAUAAAAUUUAAUAAACUUUUAAUUUAAUUGAUUAGAAUUAGUAAAAGAAUAAAUUACAUAAGUGGUUACCAAACUU